UACGUAGGGCGCAAGCGUUGUCCGGAAUUAUUGGGCGUAAAGAGCUCGUAGGCGGUCUGUUACGUCUGCUGUGAAAACCCGGGGCUUAACCCUGGGCUUGCAGUGGAUACGGGUAGACUAGAGGCAGGUAGGGGAGAAUGGAAUUCCCGGUGUAGCGGUGAAAUGCGCAGAUAUCGGGAGGAACACCGGUGGCGAGGGCGGUUCUCUGGGCCUGACCUGACGCUGAGGAGCGAAAGCGUGGGGAGCGAACAGG
RNAcentral lists this ribosomal RNA (253 nucleotides) under uncultured bacterium. Its description in RNAcentral is "partial 16S ribosomal RNA". It matches the Rfam family "Bacterial small subunit ribosomal RNA", at positions 524 to 776 of the family's 1533-position model. The record is from RNAcentral.